This 653-nucleotide ribosomal RNA is filed under the name Cuapetes grandis. RNAcentral's name for it is "SSU rRNA". It matches the Rfam family "Eukaryotic small subunit ribosomal RNA", at positions 1176 to 1804 of the family's 1831-position model. Lineage: Eukaryota; Metazoa; Arthropoda; Malacostraca; Decapoda; Palaemonidae. The record is from RNAcentral.
GUGGAGCCUGCGGCUUAAUUUGACUCAACACGGGAAACCUCACCAGGCCCGGACACCAGAAGGAUUGACAGAUUAAGAGCUCUUUCUCGAUUUGGUGGGUGGUGGUGCAUGGCCGUUCUUAGUUGGUGGAGUGAUUUGUCUGGUUAAUUCCGGUAACGAACGAGACUCUGGCCUACUAAAUAGUCGACGGGCGUUUUGGUGCAUGGGCCCCGUUCGACACAGUCUUCUUAGAGGGAUGAGCAGCGAGUAUAGCUGCAGGAGAUUGAGCAAUAACAGGUCUGUGAUGCCCUUAGAUGUCCUGGGCCGCACGCGCGCUACACUGAAUGGGUUAGCGGGUUGUCCUUCUCCGAGAGGAGCGGGAAAUCGCUUGAAAACCAUUCGUGAUAGGGAUUGGGGCUUGCAAUUGUUUCCCAUGAACGAGGAAUUCCCAGUAAGCGCAAGUCAUCAGCUUGCGUUGAUUAAGUCCCUGCCCUUUGUACACACCGCCCGUCGCUACUACCGAUUGAAUGAUUUAGUGAGGCCUUCGGACUGGCGGUCUUGGACUGGGGCGCCGGCGUCUUCCAGCAAUGGGGACUCGGCGACCCGCCUAGACGGGCCGGAAAGAUGUCCAAACUUGAUCAUUUAGAGGAAGUAAAAGUCGUAACAAGGUUUCC